Molecule: long non-coding RNA, 2794 nt
Filed under: Heterocephalus glaber (naked mole-rat)
Lineage: Eukaryota; Metazoa; Chordata; Mammalia; Rodentia; Bathyergidae
Description: lncRNA (ENSHGLG00100050647.1)
Source: RNAcentral
GGGGGUGGUGACACAAGCCUGUACUCCAAGCACUUAGGAGGCUGAGGCAGGAGAGUUCCAGCCCAGUGUGGACUACAUGGUGAGAUCUUGUCUCAAAACAAAAGCAAAAUGCUGGCUUUGCUUCCCACUAACCAAAGGGGAGACUACAGGACUAUUUCACUCUUCCUUCCAGGACUGUGGCACUUGGAUUAUGUCAAAACAGUCAGGCCCGUGCCCAGGACAGAGGAUACUAUCCAGGCUUCAGCAGUCAAAAGGAACAAGAAACACACAGACAUAGGCCAGUGUUGUGGUGUGUGCCUGUCAUCUCAGCACUCAGGAGGCUGAGGCAGGAGGAUUGCAAGUAUGAGGCUGGCCUGGGCUGCAUAGGAAGACCCUGUCAUCCCCUCUUACCCCCCUCCCCCUCAAAAAAAACAAGAAAAAAGAGAAACACAUUGAUCAGUUCUAAUCAAAAGUUUUAAGGGAUUAACUUGCUGCAAAAUGAGUCAGUGGGAUUAGCUAUCUCUCUAACAUUUCUGCUGAAUGUGGAAAGCCUUGGGCAAUCCAGCUACUCCCACCCUCCAUUCCUUUCAACUUGAGAAACUUCAGAAAACUGACACCAACGUGCAGUUCUUACCUCACCCAGGCCAUCGGGGACCUGACCAGGGGAGGGGCAUGGGGAAGGGCGCCCCCUUUAUUCCCCUGGUCCUUGAUGGGGUGUCAUGGCAAACAGUCUCCAGAGAAGUCACCCAGUUCCCUCUGGGACACACCUGGGGCUCACCUAGCACAGGAAACAGACCACAGAAUAAUGGAAACCUUCUAACCACACCCCAACUGUUAGUGAAACUGACCUGCUGGCAGUCCAUCCCCCUAAUCAUCUGUUCCUGGUUCACCACGGAAGAAAGCAAGACCCUGGGCAAAGGGACCACCAAUUCCAAGCGUCACAGGGCUCCGGGGAGGGAGGGGGGAAUCCCCAGCAUCAAUGAGUUUGACGUCUACAAAAGCCCAAGAUCUACCAAGUCAUUUUUAGAUCCUGUCUGAAUCCUGUUAGAACCAACACCCAAAACACCACCCUACCUUUGCAGAGAAUUUUAACUCUACAAGGAGCUUUCUCAAAAGGACACUGGACUUUUCCUAAGAGCUGACAAGAUGGCGGAAGCAGAGCAGAAACAGCGAACUUUCCACAAGUUUGCCUACCGUGGUGUGGACCUGGACCAGCAGCUGGACGAGUCCUACAAAGAGCUGAUACAGCACUACAGUGUGCAGUGGCGGGACAAACUGUGGCCUGAGGCUGAAGCCCCUGUGCAAGGCCAAGAAGGGGGCACCGCCCAGGGAGAAAGAAGCCAGUGGUAGUGAAGACACACACCUUCGGGAUGUGAUCAUCCUGCCCCUGAUGGUAGGCAGCAAGGUGGGCGUCUACAAUGGAAAGACCUUCAGCUAGGCAGAGAUCAAGCCACUACCUGGGCGAGUUCUCCAUUACCCACAAGCUGUUGAAGCAUGGCUGGUCUGGCAUCGGGGCCACUCAUUCUUUGCACUUUAUCUCCAAGUAGGCACCUGGCCAAUAAAGGUACCACUGUCCCCAAUUUUAAUUAGAAAAAAAUUUUUUGAACAACGACACUGGAAUGGACUAGAAGAACUGGCUGACAAUUCAGGACACCAAUAUUCUACUCCAUGCUGUUGCUCUUUAGUAUCUGGGAGACUCUAGCAAGUCAAUCCCUCCCACCACUCCCGAUUCCCACCCCAAGGCCUUAGUUUUUAGAGGAAACAUCUGUAAGCUGUGAGGGCUUCUAGCUGAAGUAACUUCUAAAGUCAGGUAUGUAAGACCAACGGCACACGAAAAAAGACAGUUUCCUCUUCCAGGACUGGCUCUUUCAAACUCGCAUCUGAAAGCCGGACAAACUGUUACUCAAGCUCGGAGAGGCCCAAUUUUAACAUAAACAUUAACAAUAAGCCAACAUUUGAGGGCAAGUCAACACAACGGGCUCUGAAGACCCUUAAAAAAUUCCACCUCUUGCUCUGGAAAAAUAUUCCCCAGAAACCCCAAUCCUCUGCAUCCUUACACAACUCUCAAGUAAAAGGACCCCCACCCUCUCGGUCUGGCUUGUUCUUUGGGAGGAGGAGCAGGCUGAAGGAAGUGUGCACUGGUGCCUGGGAAAGCACUGGGGCUGAAGCUUCCUGCAGGGAGUGAGAUGCAAAGCUAAGAACUACAGGGCCCAGGCUCGGGGAGGGGUUACUGGUCCUAUCUCCGUCGGUUUUUCUAAAAGAUAUGGGGACACAUCAUCAGAUAACCCAUCGAGGAGGCUGGGAGGAGGCACUGAUCUGGGGGGGGAUUUCCGGAUGCCUGCAGGGAACUCGGAGGUCAGGGCCGCUCGUCCAGCCUGGAUCCCCGCCCCCAGCCCCCCGGGCUCCACCGCCCCCCUCCAGCCCUCGGCUUCCUAAGGAGAGAGCGGAGACUGCGGCGUGGCGCGACGCGGUCUCGGUGGAGCCGCCUCGUCCCCGCCCCGCCACGCCCCGACUCACAUCGCCCCGAGGCCCGGGCGGCGCCGGGGGGCCCGCUCCGGGUCCCACUCCCGGGUCCCGCUGCAGCAACCACCGCCCGCCCGAAGCCGAGUCCUCCCCGCCCCGCCCCGCGGCCGUGGGGUCGGAGGUCACCGGCAGCACCAACGAGAUGCUGCGGGCCGGCAGACCCGAGAGGGGGCAGCCGGCGCGCUGCCUAGAAGGUCCCCUUGGAGGACUUUGCAGGCGGGAACGGGGAGCAUGCGCAGACGCCAGAGGGCGCUCCGGGCCAGCGGCUGGGAAUCCUGACGGGAGUGGGCGG